This 254-nucleotide ribosomal RNA is filed under the name uncultured bacterium. Its description in RNAcentral is "partial 16S ribosomal RNA". It matches the Rfam family "Bacterial small subunit ribosomal RNA", at positions 524 to 776 of the family's 1533-position model. The record is from RNAcentral.
UACAGAGGGUGCGAGCGUUGUCCGGAAUCACUGGGCGUAAAGGGCGCGUAGGUGGUGGCUUAAGCGUGCGGUGAAAGCUCGGGGCUCAACCCCGAGUCGGCCGUGCGAACUGGGCUCACUGGAGCAUAGUAGAGGCAGGUGGAAUUCCGGGUGUAGCGGUGGAAUGCGUAGAGAUCCGGAAGAACACCGGUGGCGAAGGCGGGAUCCUGGGCCAGUACUGACGCUGAGGAGCGAAAGCGUGGGGAGCAAACAGG